RNAcentral lists this ribosomal RNA (788 nucleotides) under uncultured archaeon. RNAcentral describes it as "bacterial SSU rRNA". It matches the Rfam family "Archaeal small subunit ribosomal RNA", at positions 83 to 876 of the family's 1478-position model. The record is from RNAcentral.
UCGGCUCAGUAACACGUAGUCAACAUGCCCAGGGGACGUGGAUAACCUCGGGAAACUGAGGAUAAACCGCGAUAGGCCAAGGUUUCUGGAAUGGACGCUGGCUGAAAUCUAUACGGCCCCUGGAUUGGACUGCGGCCGAUCAGGCUGUUGGUGAGGUAAUGGCCCACCAAACCUGUAACCGGUACGGGCUUUGAGAGAAGGAGCCCGGAGAUGGGCACUGAGACAAGGGCCCAGGCCCUAUGGGGCGCAGCAGGCGCGAAAAUUCUGCAAUAGGCGAAAGCUUGACAGGGCUAUCCCGAGUGCCAUCCGCUGAGGAAGGCUUUUACCCAGUCUAGAACGCUGGGGGAAUAAGGAGAGGGCAAGUCUGGUGUCAGCCGCCGCGGUAAUACCAGCUCUCCGAGUGGUGUGGAUGUUUAUUGGGCCUAAAGCAUCCGUAGCUGGCUAGGUUAGUCCCCUGUUAAAUCCACCGAAUUAAUCGUUGGAUUGCGGGGGAUACUGCUUGGCUAGGGGACGAGAGAGGCAGACGGUAUUUUCGGGGUAGGGGUGAAAUCCUAUAAUCCCGGGAAGACCACCAGUGGCGAAGGCUGUCUGCUAGAACGCGCCCGACGGUGAGGGAUGAAAGCUGGGGGAGCGAACCGGAUUAGAUACCCGGGUAGUCCCAGCUGUAAACGAUGCAGACUAGGUGUCAGCCACGGUGCGACCGUGGUUGGUGCCGUAGGGGAGCCGUGAAGCGAGCCACCUGGGAAGUACGGCCGCAAGGCUGAAACUUAAAGGAAUUGGCGGGGGAG